RNAcentral lists this ribosomal RNA (883 nucleotides) under Acinetobacter parvus. RNAcentral describes it as "bacterial SSU rRNA". It matches the Rfam family "Bacterial small subunit ribosomal RNA", at positions 12 to 885 of the family's 1533-position model. Lineage: Bacteria; Pseudomonadati; Pseudomonadota; Gammaproteobacteria; Moraxellales; Moraxellaceae. The record is from RNAcentral.
UUUGAUCCCUGGCUCAAGAUGAAACGCUGGCGGGCAGGCUUAACACAUGCAAGUCGAGCGGGGGAAGGUAGCUUGCUUCCGGACCUAGCGGCGGACGGGUGAGUAAUGCUUAGGAAUCUGCCUAUUAGUGGGGGACAACAUCUCGAAAGGGAUGCUAAUACCGCAUACGUCCUACGGGAGAAAGCAGGGGAUCUUUGGACCUUGCGCUAAUAGAUGAGCCUAAGUCGGAUUAGCUAGUUGGUGGGGUAAAGGCCUACCAAGGCGACGAUCUGUAGCGGGUCUGAGAGGAUGAUCCGCCACACUGGGACUGAGACACGGCCCAGACUCCUACGGGAGGCAGCAGUGGGGAAUAUUGGACAAUGGGCGCAAGCCUGAUCCAGCCAUGCCGCGUGUGUGAAGAAGGCCUUAUGGUUGUAAAGCACUUUAAGCGAGGAGGAGGCUACUUUAGAUAAUACCUAGAGAUAGUGGACGUUACUCGCAGAAUAAGCACCGGCUAACUCUGUGCCAGCAGCCGCGGUAAUACAGAGGGUGCAAGCGUUAAUCGGAUUUACUGGGCGUAAAGCGCGCGUAGGCGGCUAAUUAAGUCAAAUGUGAAAUCCCCGAGCUUAACUUGGGAAUUGCAUUCGAUACUGGUUAGCUAGAGUGUGGGAGAGGAUGGUAGAAUUCCAGGUGUAGCGGUGAAAUGCGUAGAGAUCUGGAGGAAUACCGAUGGCGAAGGCAGCCAUCUGGCCUAACACCGACGCUGAGGUGCGAAAGCAUGGGGAGCAAACAGGAUUAGAUACCCUGGUAGUCCAUGCCGUAAACGAUGUCUACUAGCCGUUGGGGCCUUUGAGGCUUUAGUGGCGCAGCUAACGCGAUAAGUAGACCGCGCUAGGAAUUCCCC